This 253-nucleotide ribosomal RNA is filed under the name uncultured bacterium. Its description in RNAcentral is "partial 16S ribosomal RNA". It matches the Rfam family "Bacterial small subunit ribosomal RNA", at positions 524 to 776 of the family's 1533-position model. The record is from RNAcentral.
UACGUAGGGACCAAGCGUUGUUCGGAUUUACUGGGCGUAAAGGGCGCGUAGGCGGCGUGGUAAGUCACUUGUGAAAUCUCUGAGCUUAACUCAGAACGGCCAAGCGAUACUGCUGUGCUAGAGUGCAGAAGGGGCAAUCGGAAUUCUUGGUGUAGCGGUGAAAUGCGUAGAUAUCAAGAGGAACACCUGAGGUGAAGACGGGUUGCUGGGCUGACACUGACGCUGAGGCGCGAAAGCCAGGGGAGCAAACGGG